Molecule: small RNA, 655 nt
Filed under: Trichoderma harzianum
Lineage: Eukaryota; Fungi; Ascomycota; Sordariomycetes; Hypocreales; Hypocreaceae
Description: eukaryotic LSU rRNA
Rfam family: 5.8S ribosomal RNA (bases 245-398)
Source: RNAcentral
ACUAGGGAAAUUUUUCCCGAAGGGGGACUGCGGAGGGAUCAUUACCGAGUUUACAACUCCCAAACCCAAUGUGAACGUUACCAAACUGUUGCCUCGGCGGGAUCUCUGCCCCGGGUGCGUCGCAGCCCCGGACCAAGGCGCCCGCCGGAGGACCAACCAAAACUCUUUUUGUAUACCCCCUCGCGGGUUUUUUAUAAUCUGAGCCUUCUCGGCGCCUCUCGUAGGCGUUUCGAAAAUGAAUCAAAACUUUCAACAACGGAUCUCUUGGUUCUGGCAUCGAUGAAGAACGCAGCGAAAUGCGAUAAGUAAUGUGAAUUGCAGAAUUCAGUGAAUCAUCGAAUCUUUGAACGCACAUUGCGCCCGCCAGUAUUCUGGCGGGCAUGCCUGUCCGAGCGUCAUUUCAACCCUCGAACCCCUCCGGGGGGUCGGCGUUGGGGAUCGGCCCUCCCUUAGCGGGUGGCCGUCUCCGAAAUACAGUGGCGGUCUCGCCGCAGCCUCUCCUGCGCAGUAGUUUGCACACUCGCAUCGGGAGCGCGGCGCGUCCACAGCCGUUAAACACCCAACUUCUGAAAUGUUGACCUCGGAUCAGGUAGGAAUACCCGCUGAACUUAAGCAUAUCAUAGGCCGGGAGGAAAAACAACCCCAAGUACCAGCC